GUCCAGGGAUGGGAAUCGAACCCACAGUGUUCGGCUUACCGGGCAGAUGCCAUGUCCACUAGGCUACCCUGGA
Molecule: transfer RNA, 73 nt
Filed under: Cordylochernes scorpioides
Lineage: Eukaryota; Metazoa; Arthropoda; Arachnida; Pseudoscorpiones; Chernetidae
Description: tRNA-Thr
Source: RNAcentral